Molecule: ribosomal RNA, 245 nt
Filed under: uncultured bacterium
Lineage: Bacteria
Description: partial 16S ribosomal RNA
Rfam family: Bacterial small subunit ribosomal RNA
Source: RNAcentral
ACGGCGAACGGGUGAGUAACACGUGAGUAAUCUGCCCUCGGCACCGGGAUAGCCCGGGGAAACCCGGAUUAAUACCGGAUGGCCCACCAGCCCCUCGGGGCGGUUGGAAAAGGUAGCUUCGGCCUCCGGCCGAGGAGGAGCUCGCGGCGGAUUAGCUUGUUGGCGGGGUAACGGCCCACCAAGGCGACGAUCCGUAGCUGGUCUGAGAGGACGAUCAGCCACACUGGGAUUGAGACACGGCCCAG